RNAcentral lists this ribosomal RNA (447 nucleotides) under uncultured bacterium. RNAcentral describes it as "bacterial SSU rRNA". It matches the Rfam family "Bacterial small subunit ribosomal RNA", at positions 29 to 521 of the family's 1533-position model. The record is from RNAcentral.
AACGAACGCUGGCGGCACGCCUAACACAUGCAAGUCGAACGAAGCCUUCGGGCUUAGUGGCGCACGGGUGCGUAACGCGUGGGAAUCUGCCCUUGGGUUCGGAAUAACAGUUAGAAAUGACUGCUAAUACCGAAUGAUGUCUUCGGACCAAAGAUUUAUCGCCCAAGGAUGAGCCCGCGUCGGAUUAGCUAGUUGGUGAGGUAAAGGCUCACCAAGGCGACGAUCCGUAGCUGGUCUGAGAGGAUGAUCAGCCACACUGGGACUGAGACACGGCCCAGACUCCUACGGGAGGCAGCAGUGGGGAAUAUUGGACAAUGGGCGAAAGCCUGAUCCAGCAAUGCCGCGUGAGUGAUGAAGGCCUUAGGGUUGUAAAGCUCUUUUACCCGGGAUGAUAAUGACAGUACCGGGAGAAUAAGCCCCGGCUAACUCCGUGCCAGCAGCCGCGGU